AACAGAAUGCCUGAAAAAGGGUUAUUUUGAUAGAAUAAAUUAUGUAAUAAAAAUUACUUCUGUUA
Molecule: transfer RNA, 65 nt
Filed under: Brundinia marina
Lineage: Eukaryota; Metazoa; Arthropoda; Insecta; Coleoptera; Staphylinidae
Description: tRNA-Ile
Source: RNAcentral